Molecule: long non-coding RNA, 959 nt
Filed under: Chelonus insularis
Lineage: Eukaryota; Metazoa; Arthropoda; Insecta; Hymenoptera; Braconidae
Description: uncharacterized LOC118069205
Source: RNAcentral
AUUACUAUUUAAGCUGCCAUAGAGUCCUAGACGAACUAAUAUAUUUUACCAUGCUGUCUUAUAAUUUUUCAAAUGCUAUCUGCUAAUAGUAGAAAGAAAGAAAGAGAAAGAAGGUAUCAACGCUGUUGAGCAUGAGAAUUAUUUUAAACAAAAAAAAUGAUAUCUCAUUAACUAUUAAUCGUAGAGAAGCCUAUAAGGGGUCAUUUUGUUCGUAAAGCGAUUUUCUAAAAAUUGUACGCAUUAUGUCUAGAUCUCGGAUUCAUAGUUUUCGAGAUAUUCUACUAUUAAGUUAAAACAACGUGCAUUCUGCUAUUAACAUAAGAAAGAAUCGAAGGUCGGAAAAGAUCGGGCAUCUUCGAAGUUUUUCGAAGCAGGUUUGAAUACGUUUAUUGUUCCUCAGUGCGUAAUUGACUGUGUUAUCAAUAGAGAGUGAUACAUUAUACAGUGACACAUAAAAGUGCGUCAUUUUGUAACGACUAAAAUGGAUUUACAAGGGCAUUUUGAACGUCCAGAAAUUAUCAACAACCCUAUAUACCAACUUUUAUUAAAUUCAGCUGAUGGCAAAAGUGUUUUAAAAUAUUAUCGAGAUAAUGGAUGCUUGAAGAAAACCUUAAGAAAUUUACUCAGCAGACUUAUACUCAGCCCUGAAAAAGAUAGACAAUUAAAAACAGUUCUCCAAGUGCCAUAAAGAUGCUCCUAUUUUUUACAAAGUAGAUAAUAUUAUAGUUUGUAGCAAUAUUAAAGUAUGUCUUAUUGUUAAAAAAUUAAUAAGUACAUUCCUCUACGAAAAAACUGAAUGUUAUCGAUUGUACAACGAUCAGUAUACGUGGGAUGUACUAAAUUUGGAUGACCUAUUUAGCUUUAAGAUUACGAAUCUUGUAAGAGCAUCUAAUGGUGCGAAAUUUAUUCUCAAAAAUUGGUUUUAAUUUAAAUAAAGAUAUAUUUAAUAAUUCAUAAAA